RNAcentral lists this ribosomal RNA (896 nucleotides) under uncultured archaeon. RNAcentral's name for it is "bacterial SSU rRNA". It matches the Rfam family "Archaeal small subunit ribosomal RNA", at positions 21 to 903 of the family's 1478-position model. The record is from RNAcentral.
CCCGACUGCUAUUUGGGUGAGAAUAAGCCAUGCGAGUCGAAUGGGAUACCUAAAAUUCCCAUGGCAAACUGCUCAGUAACACAUGAUCAACUUACCCUAUAGAGAAAAAUAACCUCGGGAAACUGAGGACAAUAUUUCAUAGUUGAAUCGGCUUGGAAAAGUUUUUCAAUUAAAGGGAUAAGAAAAAUGGUUCUUAUUCGCUAUAGGAUAGGAUCGUGGACGAUUAUGGUUGUUGGUGAGGUAACGGCUCACCAAGCCGAUAAUCGAUAGGGGCCGUGAGAGCGGGAGCCCCGAGAUGGGUACUGAGACAACGACCCAGGCCUUACGAGGCGCAGCAGGCGCGGAACCUCCGCAAUACACGAAAGUGUGACGGGGUUACCCAAAGUGUUCAAUAUUGAACUGUGGUAGGUGAGUAAUGUCCCCUACUAGAAAGGAGAGGGCAAGGCUGGUGCCAGCCGCCGCGGUAAAACCAGCUCUUCAAGUGGUCGGGAUAAUUAUUGGGCUUAAAGUGUCCGUAGCCGGUUUAGUAAGUUCCUGGUAAAAUCGGGUAGCUUAACUAUCUGUAUGCUAGGAAUACUGCUAUACUAGAGGACGGGAGAGGUCUGAGGUACUACAGGGGUAGGGGUGAAAUCUUAUAAUCCUUGUAGGACCACCAGUGGCGAAGGCGUCAGACUGGAACGUGCCUGACGGUGAGGGGCGAAAGCCAGGGGAGCAAACCGGAUUAGAUACCCGGGUAGUCCUGGCCGUAAACGAUGCAUACUAGGUGAUGGUACGGCCAUGAGCCGUAUCAGUGCCGUAGGGAAACCGUUAAGUGUGCCGCCUGGGAAGUACGGUCGCAAGGCUAAAACUUAAGGGAAUUGGCGGGGGAGCACCACAAGGGGUGAAGCCUGCGGUUC